RNAcentral lists this ribosomal RNA (318 nucleotides) under uncultured bacterium. Its description in RNAcentral is "bacterial SSU rRNA". It matches the Rfam family "Bacterial small subunit ribosomal RNA", at positions 35 to 334 of the family's 1533-position model. The record is from RNAcentral.
GACGAACGCUCGGCGGGCGGCGCCUAACACAUGCAAGUCGAACGAGCGAGGAGAGGAGACGUUGCUUUCUCGAGCGAGUGGCGAACGGGUGAGUAACGCGUGAGGAACCUGCCUCAAAGAGGGGGACAACAGUUGGAAACGACUGCUAAUACCGCAUAAGCCCACAGCUCGGCAUCGAGCAGAGGGAAAAGGAGUGAUCCGCUUUGAGAUGGCCUCGCGUCCGAUUAGCUGGUUGGUGAGGUAACGGCCCACCAAGGCAACGAUCGGUAGCCGGACUGAGAGGUUGAACGGCCACAUUGGGACUGAGACACGGCCCAG